CUCUACAUUCCUUUAUCUCUCCAACACAUCUCUGGGCCACAAUUUCCAUUGUAAUAAAAAGGGUGAGUACUCACAAUCCUAUGGCAUGCCAAAUAUAUCCAAUGGUUCCAUGGUUCCAUAAGGUCACAAUGCCAGAAUAUUUAUUUUAAAACAUUCAUAAUAUUCAGUAUAAUAGGGCUCACAAUUAAGUAGAGCUAGCAUAUUAUAACACAGUUCGCAAUUCACAAUUCGCAGACAAUUCACAGUAGAGUAUGGUUCGCAAAUAAUAUAACUUUCAUGAAACAUAUAUUGCACACAUAAUCACAGUUCACAUAUCAUUCAUGUCAUAGCUCAUAUAAAUCAUAAUUCCCAUAUUUUUUUUAGCAUAGGGCAUGCAAUAGCUUAGCUUACAUACAAUACAACAUAAAAUCUCACAAUACACAGUUUGGCAAAUUAAUACAAUUUGUCAUAUUAAUACAAAUCACCAAAUUAACACAGUUCACUAUAAUAAUAUAAUUUGCCAAGUUAACAUGGUUCACAAUAUAACACAGUGCAUAAAUAUAAUUGGCUCACACUACAGUUAAGCUCGCACCUAGCAUUUCACAAUAAUAGAAUUUUGCACUAAUCAGAGCUUGCAUUACUAUAGAGCUCAUAAUUCAUGUACUCAUUCAUGCAUGGAUAGAUGUAAAUUUUUAUAUUAGUUCACGUUAUAAGAGUUCACAUUAAAUUUUUAUAUUAGUUCACAAGCAUUACAAAACCCAUAUACAUAUUUAUUAUAUAUAUAAUAAAACCCACGUAUAAAUAUUGUAUAUACAUAUACCUUUUUAGUACACCAACUCACCUUAAAUAUUAUGCUCCCACACACAUGCAAUAAUAAAAUGCACAAUUCACACACACUUAUCACGUCAAGUACAUGGCUUACAGCUACGGUCUGCCUAUUUUAUUCCUAUAACUACAUGCACAUUUUAAAUUCAUGCAUUUGGCUCAUUAAAAUCGCACAGCAUGUAUACCCAACAGUCAACAAAAUUGCAAUGGUUUACACCAGGAGAAAUCAAUGUUCACAUAUUAAUUAAGUAGGGGCUCGUAUAUGUUACCUUAACUUGAGUACUGGAGUUUAAAUGCAGUAUAUCGUACCACUCACCUUAGUUCUUGCUUCAACUUCCAUACUCAAGUAAGCUUUAAUUUGCCUUUAUUCAUGCUUGUAAAGUCUCCCAAAUGACUUGGCACUUUACAUACACAAGAAACACAAUACAAAGAUAUUAUUAACAACAACAUACACAAUCAAAUCAUUCCAAAAUCACAUAUCAAAUCCUCUUAACUUCAAUACCGAAAACAUAACUAGUUUUGCUGAAAUAGGUGUUUAACCACUCAAAUCUUGUUUCUAAGCUUAAAAUUCAACUUCAUACAUCCUAAAUAUCAUCCAAUUACAUAUCUAAACCAUAAAUUUUAUCCAAUUACACUGAUCUUAUUUUUCUGAAAAAAUCAAGCUUAUGUGAUCUUUUAAAAGGGGAAAACAUUCAAUUUGCUUAAAUUCAUUAAGGAUUUUUUAAAUUAAGAUCAAAUACCUUUUAAUUAGAUAAAAAUAAGUUAUAAAUCACUUUAAAACCAAAGCUUAUCCAAGAAAUACAAUAUCUACAAUUUUCAAGCCAAAAAUCAACUUAAAUUUAAGUGAUAUAUUGAGAUCUUGAUUAAAUCAAUCAAAAUAAUAGCUCACUUAGUUUAAUCAUAAAAAAUUAGAAUCUCACCUCAAUUUUGCAAAAUCUAUGAGCUAUGGAGCUAAUUCAAGCUUAAACGUAAGAAGAUCUCUUGAGGAUUUCAAGGAUGAAAACAUGAGUGUUCUUCAAAAUUGGAAAGAGAUUUUGUUCUUAGAGAGAUUAGGAAUAAAAAAGGAUGAACUAAUUUUGGAAGAAAACUUUGAUUUGGUAUUUGGAAAAUUUUUGAAGAAUAUAAAGAAUGAGAGGGAAUGAGACAGUGGAGGUUGUUAAAUAAGCACAAAAAUUUUAAAAAAUUGGGUCAUUAUCCAUUUAACCAGCUCCAGUUUCUUCCCUUUUUUAAAUAGGUUCUUGAUUUUUAUUAAAACUAAUUUCAAAAUUUUCAAAUCAAACCUCGUUUUUAAAAAUCUGUUUUAACCAAAUUAGUUCCCGAACACCUAAUUUAAUGUCUUAACCCAUAAUUUUUAAUUCUAAUUUUUUUAAUAUUUUAUUUAAUUAAUUUCAAAUUAUUUAAUUAUAUAAUCUAUUUACGAGCUUCGAUUCACUAACCCAAAUCCUACUUACUUUCUACUAACCCGAUUUUUAGGGUGUGACACUAGUGGUUAAGGAGGGUCGUAAGUUUCCUUGUGUCCUAAUUUUGAAUCACGUUGGAUUCAAAGUUGAAAUAUUUUUUUGUUUCUUCUUUGCUGUUCCGCCCAACUUGUCAAAAUUUUGGUAAAACUCAAGUUCUGAGUAUUCAGAUUGUGAUCAAAAUAGAAGGUGGUUCAAAGAUUUAUUUUGAUUUUUAUUUUUGAACUUUUUUAAAAUGAUCUCUAAAAUCUAUCCCUAUUUGUCGUCCCCCACUUUCCUCAUCAUUCUUCCACACCCUUUUCUUUUUUCACUUUUGUUGUUAAACAACAUUUUAUCUCUUGUCGUCCUCUCCCACUACUUUUUAAUUUUUUCAUAUUCUCAUUUUGGCAACUUCUUUUAUUUAUUGUUCUUCCUCCAUUUCGUCUCUUCAUAUUGUUUUUGUUGCCAUCCAAACCUUAUUUUUCCUGUGUUACUACAUCUUCUUGUAUUGUUGCUGGUCGUACGUGAAUAAGGUGUCUUGGUAUAGUAUCCAUAUUAUUCGUAAGUGUUGUUCGUUCUCCUCUUAAUGGUGUUGUUUUUCUCUCUUUCACGUGGAAGGUUUGCGAUCCUUUAGUUUGGCCGAUAAGUCUAUGGUCUGACCAUUUUUGUGGUUUUUUCAAGUGAGGAAUGUGUGCCACAUAACCCUCCUGCGAACUGAGUAUUUCGACAACAUCUUUCUCUAAGGGUAAGUAGUCGAAUGCCUUACUUUUAGGGGUUGUCUUGUGUUAGCAAUGCUAGGGCUGAAUGCCCUAAUACUUGGUCAAAUGCUCUAAGGGAGCAAGGGCUAAAUGCCCUAGACCGAUUGUGUAUGUGGUUGCUAUGUAAUGACCCGAUAGUCAAGGGUGUUGGAAAAUGAAGUUCGGUACUCUAUUUCUGUAAAACAAACCCGUAAAUAUUAAGUAAAUAUUUUUAUUUAUAUUUACGAGGUUAGUUUAGUGGUGAAUUAGAUUUUGGUUAAGUGAAAUUUAUGAAAUUAGGAAUUGUUAAUGUACUGGGACUAAAUCGCAUAUGAGUUAAAAUUUGAAUUAUAGAUUGGAAUAAAUUUAAGGGACUAAAGUAGCAAUUAUAUAUUUAUAUAUGUAUAGUGGGCGUCAUUAAUGGUGUGUAUUAUAUAUAUAUAUGAUAAUCUAAUAUAUAUUAUAUGUUAUAAUAAAUAAAAUGAAUUUAAUAUAUAUAGGUUAUAAAAUAAUAAUAGUUAUAAUAAUAAAAACAAAAGGAAAAAGAUGUUAACAUGCAAAAAUUAGAAAGAAAAGAAAAGAAAAGAAAACAAAGAAAAGAGAAGGAAGAACGCACAGCCUAGGAACUUAAGAGUUCAAGCUUAAAUUGGUUAGUGCAAUUUAGUCCCUUUUAUUGUAAUUUUUACGUUUUUGGAAUCUCGAUACUUAGGGCUAGCCGACUUGUGUUGCAAUUUUUAGUAUUGCUUAUAAUUUUAGAUGUUACUAUUGUUGAAUAGCUUAAUACUAGGGGUAAAUUGAUAGAUUUUUAAGUUAGAAAUGGAAAAGGGCUAAAUUGUAGAACAAAUUGUAAAUUUUGAGUAAUAGGGACUAAAUUAUGAAAAAAUUAAAAUUUAAGGGUAUAAUUGAAAAUAAGGAGCUAAAUUUAGCUUAGUGUGAAAUUAGUAAAAAAAAUAUAGAGUUAAAUGUGAAGGUUAAAAUUAAUCUCAGUUUAGGGACUAAAUUGAAAUUUAAGCAAAUAUAGUGUAAAAAUUGAAAAUUAAUGUGGAAUUGAAUUGUGUAAUAUUAAUGUAUUUUAAUUGUUUUACUCCGUAGCUAACGUCAUACUGGAAUCCUCGAGAAAGAAGGGGAAGGAUAAAAUCGACGUCGAAUAACUCGGAAUUCACGGUUUGUGUUUCUAUAAUCUGAACUAAGUUAUAAAUUAUUACAUUUUGAAUUAUUGCAUAUGGUAAGCAUUUGAGGUGAGUAUUUUGGUACUUUGAGAUUGAAUUGAAUUCAUAUUUGAUUGAAAUGGAUUGAUUUGGUGUAUUAUAAAUGUAUUGACUAUAUGAAUAUUGAAUUGAAUAUAUGUUUAUAUGUGUAUAUAUAUGAGAAUUGGACAUUGGAUGUAAUUGAAAGUGACAUGGAACCCUAUUAACUAUUUGGGCUCAGUCGGAUAUAGAUGGCAUGCCGUAGGAUUAGAAGAGUUUAGGGAUUUCUUCGACCUCGAGUCGAUAAGGCAUUGGAUGCUAAUUUGCUCUGGUUUAACUGGUGAGACACUAGGUGUCAAUUUAUAUAGUGUUGGGCGCAAUUAUUACUUCGAAUUUCUUCGAUGAGGCAUUGGGUGCCAAACUGGAGUGUUGGUUGGAUUUGUGUAUCCGUCCGAAUCCGAGUCGUGUUAAUAGGGGUAAAUAAAUUUUUUUAUAUAUUUGAUAUUGGGAUGAAAAAUAUGAUAAAUGAAUAUGAAAUGAUGAAAUGAAGUGUGAUUUGUGAUAUGAAAUCAAAUAUUUCUAUCAUGCUAUUACAUGAGAUGAGAUUAGCAAAUACUAUAUAAAAUGCCUUUGGUAUGUGAUUGAACAUCUGAAAAUUGUAUUAGGUGUGAAUAAGGAAUGAGAAAAAUAAAAAAUAUAUAUUAUAGAAUUGAAACACAUGUACAUAGCUUUACUUGAUGCAUUUUUAUAUUUUAAUUACUUUUGUCAAGUUUAUAUUGUUCGGAUUAUGGAAAUACCACUAGUUAUACUCAACGCACAGUUUUGUUUUUCUGUGCGCAGGUUAGGUACAUUUCAGCUUACAAUCAACUCAGCAUCCAACCUCAAUCCUGAACUCAAGUGUGGUGAUAUUUCAUUUUGUAAUUGCAUGUACCUAGGAAGUCCUUGGUUGAUAAUUUUUUUUUUGUUAAUGUGGUGCUAUUUUAGGUUUCAAAUACCACUAGUUACACUCAGCGCACAGUUUUGUUUUUCUGUGCACAGGUUAGGUACAUUUCAGCUUACAAUCA
RNAcentral lists this long non-coding RNA (5228 nucleotides) under Gossypium barbadense (sea-island cotton). RNAcentral describes it as "long non-coding RNA (GBAR_LNC017285)". Lineage: Eukaryota; Viridiplantae; Streptophyta; Magnoliopsida; Malvales; Malvaceae. The record is from RNAcentral.